This is a long non-coding RNA of Heterocephalus glaber (naked mole-rat), 1713 nucleotides long. RefSeq lists it as uncharacterized. The record is from RefSeq and is a predicted model, not a curated record. NCBI's taxonomy places the organism in Eukaryota, Metazoa, Chordata, Mammalia, Rodentia, Bathyergidae.
GGUCAAUGCAGCAACACAUUCACCAAAUACUUAUUCCAACAGAACAGGUACUGUUCUCCGUGUCAAGGAUGUAACAGCGAACAGUGUCGUGGCCAUUAUUAUCCUGUGUAAAAAUUCUUAGGUAAAACUACCUGGCCCUGAUUCUUUGUUCCCCUUUACUAGGUUGCCAAUUACUGGGGCUGCUAUUAUUACUAAACAUCCUAAUGUAGAGUGUUGGGAAUGCAGGUGACUAUCCACCUAAAAUCUGAAGGAAUUUCUGAGAACGGUACGAUCUCAAGACUGAUUUGAAUAUAGGAGAGUCCACACUUUUGAGUACUCCUGUUGGUCCUUCACUGCUGAGAAGCCCACCACUUGACUCUUAAUCUCUUCAUUAUGCCUCUCUGAAAUGCCCAUCGUCAGCCUCCAUCAGGGAAACAGUCAUAAAAACAUCAAUUUAGCCACUUCUCCCACUGUUUAGAAUUUAGAUUGAGGGAAGCUGAGUAGUUACAAUAAAGACUUCUUGACUGAGGCAUUACGCAGCGGUGGUUUCGCUUUCACAAUCCUAGUUUCUUUGUAGCUUUUGAUUCUUUUGCUAAAACAGACCUUAACUUUUUAGGUUCUUUCAUUGCUACCCAGUAGGGGAAGGGGGAAAACUAAAGCAGAUGACAUCUCAUCACUCAGUCUGGAAAAUUUGAUAUUCCUAAGUUCAAAAACUAAAACCUGAAAAAUGAAGUUGUUCUCUAAACCAGCAAGGCAGAAAAGCAGCAGGCGCAAAGAUUGCAUGAAGUACCGAAUGACAAAACUGAAGAUGAAUAGUCUGGCAAAGAAAUCUGAAGUUGAGUCAGAGAACAUUUGUGCACCAAACAUAAGGGAAUUGAACUCAGGACUUUGCACUUGCCAUGCAGGCACAGUGCCACUGAGCCACAUCCCCAGCCCUAACCUGUAUGCUUCGUGAAGUGAAGAAUUAUACCUACUGGCGCCACACCACACAGCAAGUGCUCAACACAGUCACUGGGAUUAAGACUACUAGAGUGGACCUGACUGCCUUAAGGAAAAGCUUUCAGUCUUUUACCAUUGCCUGUUGUGGAUUUUUCAUACAUGUAUGUUAUUAUAUCCCCUUAGUUUGUUGAAUGUUUUUGUCAUGAAAUGGUGUUGAAUUUUUCAAAUGCUUUUCCUACAUCAGUUGAAAAGAUGAUAUUUUCCCUUCUUCAUUCUCUUAAUGUGGCAUAUUACAUUGACUGUGUUUUCCAUUUAGGUCAUGUGUUUGGACCAUUUACAUUCAAUGUGGUUAAUAUUAGAUUUAAGCUUAUACCUUUGCUAUUUGUUUAUUUUUCCUAUCAAUCCUUUGUUCCUUUUCUUAUUUUGUAUGAACUCUUUGACUAACUUUUUGUUUCUAUGAUAUUUUCCUUGCUGUGUUAUUAACUAUUAAAUUUUAGGUUAUUGGUCACUUAAGGUUUACAGAAUGACUUUUUAGCAGAUUAGUACACUUUCUAAUACUAUACCACUCGAUAUUUAGCAUAAGAGUCUUGUAAAAAUACAUUGCCAAAGUGUAUAUUGGUAUACUACCACUUUUUAUUUCUGUGCUAUUAUUUUCAUACAUUUUACUUAUGUUAUAAAACCAUCAAUACAUCACUAUUUUUUGUUAAAUUAAUCAAUUAUCUGUAAAAAAUUUAAAUGAUGAGAAAAAGUAUACAUUUAUCAAGUUACUACUGUUGGUGAUAUUUAUUCCUUGGG